CCUACGGGAGGCAGCAGUGAGGAAUAUUGGUCAAUGGGCGAGAGCCUGAACCAGCCAAGUCGCGUGAAGGAUGAAGGCCCUACGGGUGGUAAACUUCUUUUGUCAGGGAGAAAUUGGGUCCACGCGUGGGCUUAGCGAGUGUACCUGAAGAAAAAGCAACGGCUAACUCCGUGCCAGCAGCCGCGGUCAUACGGAGGACGCGAGCGUUAGCCGGAUUGAAUGGGUUAAAGGGGUGCGUAGGCGGAAUAUCAAGUCAGCGGUAAAAAUUCGGGGCUCAACCCCGUCGUGCCGUUGAAACUGGUGUUCUUGAGUGGGCGAGAGGUAUGCGGAAUGCGUGGUGUAGCGGUGAAAUGCAUAGAUAUCACGCAGAACUCCGAUUGCGAAGGCAGCAUACCGGCGCCCAACUGACGCUGAAGCACGAAAGCGUGGGUAUCGAACAGGAUUAGAUACCCUGGUAGUC
RNAcentral lists this ribosomal RNA (460 nucleotides) under uncultured bacterium. Its description in RNAcentral is "partial 16S ribosomal RNA". It matches the Rfam family "Bacterial small subunit ribosomal RNA", at positions 338 to 795 of the family's 1533-position model. The record is from RNAcentral.